This 781-nucleotide ribosomal RNA is filed under the name Acinetobacter sp. G1-31. RNAcentral describes it as "bacterial SSU rRNA". It matches the Rfam family "Bacterial small subunit ribosomal RNA", at positions 97 to 873 of the family's 1533-position model. Lineage: Bacteria; Pseudomonadati; Pseudomonadota; Gammaproteobacteria; Moraxellales; Moraxellaceae. The record is from RNAcentral.
GGCGGACGGGUGAGUAAUGCUUAGGAAUCUGCCUAUUAGUGGGGGACAACAUUCCGAAAGGAAUGCUAAUACCGCAUACGCCCUACGGGGGAAAGCAGGGGAUCUUCGGACCUUGCGCUAAUAGAUGAGCCUAAGUCAGAUUAGCUAGUUGGUGGGGUAAAGGCCUACCAAGGCGACGAUCUGUAGCGGGUCUGAGAGGAUGAUCCGCCACACUGGGACUGAGACACGGCCCAGACUCCUACGGGAGGCAGCAGUGGGGAAUAUUGGACAAUGGGCGAAAGCCUGAUCCAGCCAUGCCGCGUGUGUGAAGAAGGCCUUUUGGUUGUAAAGCACUUUAAGCGAGGAGGAGGCUACUUAGAUUAAUACUCUAGGAUAGUGGACGUUACUCGCAGAAUAAGCACCGGCUAACUCUGUGCCAGCAGCCGCGGUAAUACAGAGGGUGCGAGCGUUAAUCGGAUUUACUGGGCGUAAAGCGUGCGUAGGCGGCUUCUUAAGUCGGAUGUGAAAUCCCUGAGCUUAACUUAGGAAUUGCAUUCGAUACUGGGAAGCUAGAGUAUGGGAGAGGAUGGUAGAAUUCCAGGUGUAGCGGUGAAAUGCGUAGAGAUCUGGAGGAAUACCGAUGGCGAAGGCAGCCAUCUGGCCUAAUACUGACGCUGAGGUACGAAAGCAUGGGGAGCAAACAGGAUUAGAUACCCUGGUAGUCCAUGCCGUAAACGAUGUCUACUAGCCGUUGGGGCCUUUGAGGCUUUAGUGGCGCAGCUAACGCGAUAAGUAGACCGCC